Non-coding RNA from Acanthosepion pharaonis, 103 nucleotides. The record is from the annotation of a GenBank genome assembly. Lineage: Eukaryota; Metazoa; Mollusca; Cephalopoda; Sepiida; Sepiidae.
UUACGGCCAUAUCAAGACGAAACACCGGUUCCCGUACGAAGUUAAGCAACCUCGAGCUUGGUCAGUAUCUAGAUGGGUGAUCGCUUGGAAAUAACUGGUGCUG